Molecule: ribosomal RNA, 203 nt
Filed under: uncultured Streptococcaceae bacterium
Lineage: Bacteria; Bacillati; Bacillota; Bacilli; Lactobacillales; Streptococcaceae
Description: partial 16S ribosomal RNA
Rfam family: Bacterial small subunit ribosomal RNA
Source: RNAcentral
GCGGGGGAUAACUAUUGGAAACGAUAGCUAAUACCGCAUGAAAUGGAUUAUCGCAUGAUAAUCGAUUGAAAGGUGCAAAUGCAUCACUACCAGAUGGACCUGCGUUGUAUUAGCUAGUUGGUGAGGUAACGGCUCACCAAGGCAACGAUACAUAGCCGACCUGAGGGGGUGAUCGGCCACACUGGGACUGAGACACGGCCCAG